Immersiella caudata is the source of this 85-nucleotide non-coding RNA. NCBI's taxonomy places the organism in Eukaryota, Fungi, Ascomycota, Sordariomycetes, Sordariales, Lasiosphaeriaceae. The record is from the annotation of a GenBank genome assembly.
GAGCGGCUAGUAUAAUGGUCAGUACAGUUCGUUGCGGUUCUCAACCCCUCUCCGAACAAACCCAGGUUCGAUUCCUUGUCACUCA